UGGGGAAUCUUGCACAAUGCGCGAAAGCGUGAUGCAGCAACGCCGCGUGGGGGAAGAAGGCCUUCGGGUUGUAAACCCCUUUCAGUUGGGACGAAGCUUCUGCGGUGAACAGCCGUACGGAGUGACGGUACCUUCAGAAGAAGCCCCGGCUAACUACGUGCCAGCAGCCGCGGUAAUACGUAGGGGGCAAGCGUUGUCCGGAAUUAUUGGGCGUAAAGCGCGUGUAGGCGGCUCGGUAAGUCUGCUGUGAAAGUCCAAGGCUCAACCUUGGAAAGCCGGUGGAUACUGUCGAGCUCGAGUCCGGAAGAGGCGAGUGGAAUUCCUGGUGUAGCGGUGAAAUGCGCAGAUAUCAGGAGGAACACCAAUGGCGAAGGCAGCUCGCUGGGACGGUACUGACGCUGAGACGCGAAAGCGUGGGGAGCAAAC
This 426-nucleotide ribosomal RNA is filed under the name uncultured bacterium. RNAcentral's name for it is "bacterial SSU rRNA". It matches the Rfam family "Bacterial small subunit ribosomal RNA", at positions 355 to 773 of the family's 1533-position model. The record is from RNAcentral.